UACGGAAGGCAGCAGUGGGGAAUAUUGCACAAUGGGCGCAAGCCUGAUGCAGCCAUGCCGCGUGUAUGAAGAAGGCCUUCGGGUUGUAAAGUACUUUCAGUCGUGAGGAAGGUGUUAAGGUUAAUAACCUUAGCAAUUGACGUUAGCGACAGAAGAAGCACCGGCUAACUCCGUGCCAGCAGCCGCGGUAAUACGGAGGGUGCGAGCGUUAAUCGGAAUUACUGGGCGUAAAGGGCACGCAGGCGGUUAAUUAAGUUGGAUGUGAAAUCCCCGGGCUUAAACCUGGGAAUGGCAUUCAAGACUGGUUAGCUAGAGUCUUGUAGAGGGGGUAGAAAUUCCAUGUGUAGCGGUGAAAUGCGUAGAGAUGUGGAGGAAUACCGGUGGCGAAGGCGGCCCCUGGGACAAAGACUGACGCUCAUGUGCGAAAGCGUGGGGAGCAAAACAGGGAUUAGAUACC
RNAcentral lists this ribosomal RNA (457 nucleotides) under uncultured bacterium. RNAcentral describes it as "bacterial SSU rRNA". It matches the Rfam family "Bacterial small subunit ribosomal RNA", at positions 340 to 786 of the family's 1533-position model. The record is from RNAcentral.